RNAcentral lists this ribosomal RNA (484 nucleotides) under uncultured bacterium. Its description in RNAcentral is "bacterial SSU rRNA". It matches the Rfam family "Bacterial small subunit ribosomal RNA", at positions 29 to 508 of the family's 1533-position model. The record is from RNAcentral.
AUUGAACGCUGGCGGAAUGCUUUACACAUGCAAGUCGAGCGGCAGCGCGGGGCAACCUGGCGGCGAGCGGCGAACGGGUGAGUAAUGCAUCGGAACAUGUCCAUGUCGUGGGGGAUAGCCCGGCGAAAGCCGGAUUAAUACCGCAUACGCCCGAGAGGGGAAAGUGGGGGACCGCAAGGCCUCACGCGAUUGGGUUGGCCGAUGUCCGAUUAGCUAGUUGGCGGGGUAAGAGCCCACCAAGGCGAUGAUCGGUAGCUGGUCUGAGAGGAUGAUCAGCCACACUGGGACUGAGACACGGCCCAGACUCCUACGGGAGGCAGCAGUGGGGAAUUUUGGACAAUGGAGGCAACCCUGAUCCAGCCAUUCCGCGUGAGUGAAGAAGGCCUUCGGGUUGUAAAGCUCUUUUGUCCGGAACGAAACGGGUAGCGUGAAUAUCGCUGCCUACUGACGGUACCGGAAGAAUAAGCACCGGCUAACUACGUGC